UACGUAGGGACCAAGCGUUGUUCGGAUUUACUGGGCGUAAAGGGCGCGUAGGCGCGUGGUAAGUCACUUGUGAAAUCUCUGAGCUUAACUCAGAACGGUCAAGUGAUACUGCUGUGCUAGAGUGCGGAAGGGGCAAUCGGAAUUCUUGGUGUAGCGGUGAAAUGCGUAGAUAUCAAGCGGAACACCGGUGGCGAAGGCGGCCUUCUGGACAGUGACUGACGCUGGAGACGCGAAAGCGUGGGGAGCAAACAGG
RNAcentral lists this ribosomal RNA (253 nucleotides) under uncultured bacterium. Its description in RNAcentral is "partial 16S ribosomal RNA". It matches the Rfam family "Bacterial small subunit ribosomal RNA", at positions 524 to 776 of the family's 1533-position model. The record is from RNAcentral.